UACGGAGGGGGCUAGCGUUGUUCGGAAUUACUGGGCGUAAAGCGCACGUAGGCGGCUUGAUAAGUUAGAGGUGAAAGCCCGGGGCUCAACUCCGGAAUAGCCUUUAAGACUGUCUCGCUUGAACGUCGGAGAGGUGAGUGGAAUUCCGAGUGUAGAGGUGAAAUUCGUAGAUAUUCGGAAGAACACCAGUGGCGAAGGCGGCUCACUGGACGACUGUUGACGCUGAGGUGCGAAAGCGUGGGGAGCAAACAGG
RNAcentral lists this ribosomal RNA (253 nucleotides) under uncultured bacterium. RNAcentral's name for it is "partial 16S ribosomal RNA". It matches the Rfam family "Bacterial small subunit ribosomal RNA", at positions 524 to 776 of the family's 1533-position model. The record is from RNAcentral.